AACAAUCCAACCGGGGGAUCGUUUAACUAGCCCGUAGGAUUUUCAGGUGCUAUCCUGUGUCUAGGGAUGAGCGGUCCAACCGGGAGACUAAACUCCAUAGCUCACACACCGGAACAUCCAACGCCAUGUGUAGCUCCAAUACUAAGUCCUACGCGCGUAGACUGGAUCAUCACACACCAGAACAUCCAACGUCAUGGAUGAUGAUCCCAAACAAUAUACAGAGUCUUUCCAUACGCCGGAACAUCCAACGCCGCAUAUGGAAAGUGUCUCACAUGCCGGAACAUCCAACACCGCGUGUGAGACUGACAACCUAUUCUUCCCAUAUGCCUGAACAUCCAACGCCACGUGUGAGAAGUCUAAUAACUGGGGAAGGUACUUACAUAGUGUAAUCAUACAACUUCUCUCAACAACCCCUCAUAUCCAUGUUCUUCCACAACUCACCUUCACAACCCAAGUAUCUCGCCUAUAAAGAAUAUAUAUAUAUAUAUAUAUAUAUAACUUUCCCAAAAUCCAUAUAAAUUAUACUCUCG
Molecule: long non-coding RNA, 530 nt
Filed under: Prunus persica (peach)
Lineage: Eukaryota; Viridiplantae; Streptophyta; Magnoliopsida; Rosales; Rosaceae
Description: long non-coding RNA (PPER_LNC008611)
Source: RNAcentral